Pseudoliparis swirei is the source of this 1784-nucleotide long non-coding RNA. RefSeq lists it as uncharacterized. The transcript has 2 exons. The record is from RefSeq and is a predicted model, not a curated record. NCBI's taxonomy places the organism in Eukaryota, Metazoa, Chordata, Actinopteri, Perciformes, Liparidae.
GUGCUUUUGCUGCGUAAUCCGAUUUCUAGUAGGUCUUGUCUAUUAUAGCAUUGUAUUCAGAUAUUUCACUGCUUUUGUGAACCUAUGACCUUUUGGUAAACCAAUUUCAAAAACAAAAACAGUUCGUCCACAUGAGUAAAGGUGUGUUUUCAGAAGUGAUAUGAAGAAUAUUUUCUCUUUCCACUUGUACCUGAGGACAAUUGUGCCUCAUUAUAUAGAGAGCUGAGACAAUACGUCCAUUAUUUGUUUAAAACAAUUAGAAAUUAUUGAGCUUGAUUAUUUCGUUGGGUAAUAAUAUGUUUUGAAUGUUGAAAGUGAUUCCAUUGAUCUUUUUCCAGUAAAUGUUGAUUUCUUUAACUUUGCACCUUUAAUUGAAAUGUAUAAAAAUCAGACGCAAUCUCCAGGUUUAAUAAAUUACAUUGCGUGUCCAACAGCUCCUGGCCCGGCCCCUCUGUCAGAUUUUAGAACCGAUUGUGGCCCGCAAGUCAAAAAGUUUGCCCACCCCUGGACUAUGCGGUUCUAUGGACUUUGAGGGAUGGAAACCGGAAGUGUAAUGCUGUCACGUGACUGAGUUAGCUCUGCGCUAAAACCAAGUUUAUGUUGGCCUAAAUUGCCACCCUUAAAUAUGCCGAAUUAUCUGUAGGUGGUUCCUGAACGCAACGUACUUAUGGACGCCUGGUUUACUUUAAAAACGUAUGAAAUCCUAAAAGUGGUGAUGUUAUAAGGCGAGAUUUUGAGUUUCUAAGCUGAUUUACGGACGAUUGUUGCGAUAAGCGUCAAAGGUAAUAGUGCUAAAACAGUUUUUUAAGCAUUUGGGGACGAUGAUGUGUCAUCUGGAGGGGACAUAAGUCAUCAGUGAUUUAAACGGGUGGAUGUAACGAAGUGGAACUGACAGGAAGAAGCGAUUGGGUCCUCCGGACCAGUAAGCAGGUUGCACUGGCCCUGAUUAGGUGAUUUUCCGUGCUGGGAAAUCGGGAUAUUUUCUGUAUCUGCUGGGUUGCUCACUGCUUUUGAGGUUUAUCUUUUCUCUGUUGGCAGCUAUUUAUGAUUAAUUCUCUUUUCGUUUCAUUUAUUUUCUAUUUAGUGGUUCGCUGCCUUGGUUUUAUUGUUCUUUUUGUUUGCGGUGCCUGUCAUGGCCCACCGUCUGUGAACUCGUCCUGCUCGCGUUGGAACAGAAGGAGCGUUGUGAUUGGCUGAGAGGACGUUGGGGUAGUGUGACGUAGGUCGUAAACAAGGAAGUGGAACGUGAACCCGCUCGCCAACACAUUUCAGCGUGCGCCUCAACUUUGAUGAACACAUAGCGGAGACACUCACCAAGUGGUUGCGUGGCCGUGAACGGUGACGCGAGCAUGUCAUCCGGGUUCCCCACGCGGGACGGGGAGACUUCCGCGAUGUUUACGAGCCGGCGGAAGACUCCUUCCUCUUGAUCGACGCCCUGGAGAAGGAUGCAGAGCUGCUGCAGCACAUGAGCCCACACGUGUGUCUGGAGGUGGGCAGCGGCUCUGGAGUGGUGUCCGCUUUCCUGCCGUCGGUGGUCGGCCCUUCCACUCUCUAUCUGUGAGUUAGACAGACGUACCCACAUCCGCCUACUGGGCAAACACGGCUUGAAGGGGGAGACGCGCAUGUCGACGAGAGCUGGCAACGAGAGGCUGUCCAUCCUGCUCUUCAACAGGAGCUGACCUCGCAUCCCCUGAAAUGACAAAGGAAGGUUCCUCUGAAGAACAAACACUUAUUGUGCAAGGACUUUGGUGAAUUAGAAAAAUUAAAAAAAUGCCUCAUCGUUC